Molecule: ribosomal RNA, 253 nt
Filed under: uncultured bacterium
Lineage: Bacteria
Description: partial 16S ribosomal RNA
Rfam family: Bacterial small subunit ribosomal RNA
Source: RNAcentral
UACGAAGGGGGCGAGCGUUGUUCGGAUUUACUGGGCGUAAAGGGCUCGUAGGCGGCCAACUAAGUCAGACGUGAAAUCCCUCGGCUUAACCGGGGAACUGCGUCUGAUACUGGAUGGCUUGAAUCCGGGAGAGGGAUGCGGAAUUCCAGGUGUAGCGGUGAAAUGCGUAGAUAUCGGGAGGAACACCAGUGGCGAAGGCGGCGACCUGGGCCAAGAUUGACGCUGAGGUGCGAAAGCGUGGGGAGCAAACAGG